Non-coding RNA from Chiloscyllium plagiosum (whitespotted bambooshark), 448 nucleotides. The record is from RefSeq and is a predicted model, not a curated record. Lineage: Eukaryota; Metazoa; Chordata; Chondrichthyes; Orectolobiformes; Hemiscylliidae.
CAUGAGUUGACAGGUGCAUUUUUGAGGGGCAGUAUUGGAUCAGGCACAUUUCCCUUCACAAAAGACUUGACUACAUCACCCAGAUUCCUCCAGUUAUCCAGAACAGAUCAAUGUAUAUCUGCUUCAUGUUGAAAUCUAAAACCAUCUCCACUGCCAAUUAGGCAAGUUGUAGCAACUAGGUCAAGAGAAGGGAAUAAGAAUCACUGCAAAGAGCUGAUGGACAGCAACAAGUACAGACGAACUCGUUGGUGAUGAGAAAUUUAAAUGAAAAGGCUUUGGGAUCCUGAAAGAGAGAGAAGAAUGUUCAGCACGUGCCCUGUUGAAAAUUAUUUCAACAAAAGUCAGCUAAAGCUAACAUUUUUCACAAAUUUCUUUCUACUGCCGUUUGAUUCCUCAAAACCUCAGAGCAAAAUAUUCAAAUGCUGUUCCAAAAAUGUAGCCACCUUAA